UAUAUGGUUUAUAUAUACUUUUGCCUGUAAAAAGGGAGAUAAUAUGCUACUUCCGGUUUAUAAAAUAUCACUUCCGGUCUUAAAUGAUAGAUAAAUGUAUGACCAUUCAAAAAAUAUAUGGUUUCUAUGUACUUCUACAUGAAAUAAGUGCAAAAAUGACUACUUCCGGUUCACUCAAGGUCACUUCCGGUUGACAUUUUUCAACGUCAUAUGUCAACCCACAGUUUGCAAAAGACCCUAUGGCUUUAUCAUGUACCAAGUUGGAGUAAUAAUCAAUUAACCUUAAAUUGAAUCAUUUCAGGGACAAUAACUCCUUUAAGAUGUCAUUGGAUUGUUUCAGACUAAAUGUAUCAUAUCUUAAUCACAA
This is a long non-coding RNA of Mytilus californianus (California mussel), 367 nucleotides long. RefSeq lists it as uncharacterized. NCBI's taxonomy places the organism in Eukaryota, Metazoa, Mollusca, Bivalvia, Mytilida, Mytilidae. The transcript has 2 exons. The record is from RefSeq and is a predicted model, not a curated record.